GCCUCCCCGACUCCCUGCGCCGCCGGCUCCCGUGCCGCCCCGGCGAGCUGCAGCGCCUUCUCCUCAAUUCCUCGCGACUCGUCCUCCCGCCGUCGAUUCUUUGGUCAGGCGGUGCUCUUCUUUUCUCCUACAGCGAGCCCCUGCGCCCUCGACUCUUUGGUCAACGCGUCGAUUCUUCGUCCUGUGCUGCUCCGGCGAGCUGCAGCGCCGGGUGCCGUUGCCCUCCACGGAUGAUGGUAACAUUCAGCAGUUGACGCCUAUCCCCAACCAACAAGUUGCAGGAGAUGAGAAGGUGCCCGAAGAUGUGCCGUGAAGCCCAGACCUGUCCAGCUCCCACGGGAACGCCGCGUGCAGAGCACCUCCAUCAAGAUUCUGGCCACAGGAUAUCUUCUUGCUAACUUCCAGGCGCUGAGUGUUCCUAUUGCAGGCAGUGGCUAAGAUGAGGUCAGAAGGAAACUGCAAGAGUGAAUACACGGGCUUAGAUUGCAGCGAGCUCAGCAUGAUAUGUCUCUGACUACGAGGAUAAACACUGUAUCAUUUUGGUGUACACAUUCAGCAUUUUGUUUUCUUCUGAAAACGACUUAGUCUACAAAUGCCAAUGUGUACGAGAUUGGAAGCUAGCUGAAAGACUACAAUGGACAAGAUGGACCU
This is a long non-coding RNA of Panicum virgatum (switchgrass), 651 nucleotides long. RefSeq lists it as uncharacterized. The record is from RefSeq and is a predicted model, not a curated record. NCBI's taxonomy places the organism in Eukaryota, Viridiplantae, Streptophyta, Magnoliopsida, Poales, Poaceae. The transcript has 3 exons.